UAGUCCACGCUGUAAACGAUGUCUACUAGCCGUUGGUUUCCUUGAGGAAGCAGUGGCGCAGCUAACGCGAUAAGUAGACCGCCUGGGGAGUACGGCCGCAAGGUUAAAACUCAAAUGAAUUGACGGGGGCCCGCACAAGCGGUGGAGCAUGUGGUUUAAUUCGAUGCAACGCGAAGAACCUUACCAGGUCUUGACAUCCUGAAAACUUUCUAGAGAUAGAUUGGUGCCUUCGGGAAUUCAGUGACAGGUGCUGCAUGGCUGUCGUCAGCUCGUGUCGUGAGAUGUUGGGUUAAGUCCCGUAACGAGCGCAACCCUUGUCCUUAGUUGCUAGCAGGUAAUGCUGAGAACUCUAAGGAGACUGCCGGUGACAAACCGGAGGAAGGUGGGGACGACGUCAAGUCCUCAUGGCCCUUAUGUCCAGGGCUACACACGUGAUACAAUGGCAAGUACAAUGGGAUGCGAACCUGCGAGGGGGAGCGAAAUCUCUAAAAGCUUGUCUCAGUCCGG
RNAcentral lists this ribosomal RNA (507 nucleotides) under uncultured bacterium. RNAcentral describes it as "bacterial SSU rRNA". It matches the Rfam family "Bacterial small subunit ribosomal RNA", at positions 791 to 1296 of the family's 1533-position model. The record is from RNAcentral.